Molecule: long non-coding RNA, 118 nt
Organism: Amblyraja radiata (thorny skate)
Lineage: Eukaryota; Metazoa; Chordata; Chondrichthyes; Rajiformes; Rajidae
Exons: 3
Source: RefSeq, a predicted model, not a curated record
GGCUGGGGUUCUCGAUGGAGGGAGGAGGUGAGGAAUGGAGGGCGGGGAGGAGGGUGGCAGCUGUGACAACCAACAGCGCAGAUGAAGGACUGGACCCAGCGUGGACAAUCAACCAAUG